This 481-nucleotide ribosomal RNA is filed under the name uncultured Pseudoalteromonas sp. RNAcentral describes it as "bacterial SSU rRNA". It matches the Rfam family "Bacterial small subunit ribosomal RNA", at positions 30 to 507 of the family's 1533-position model. The record is from RNAcentral. Lineage: Bacteria; Pseudomonadati; Pseudomonadota; Gammaproteobacteria; Alteromonadales; Pseudoalteromonadaceae.
UUGAACGCUGGCGGCAGGCCUAACACAUGCAAGUCGAGCGGUAACAUUUCUAGCUUGCUAGAAGAUGACGAGCGGCGGACGGGUGAGUAAUGCUUGGGAACAUGCCUUGAGGUGGGGGACAACAGUUGGAAACGACUGCUAAUACCGCAUAAUGUCUACGGACCAAAGGGGGCUUCGGCUCUCGCCUUUAGAUUGGCCCAAGUGGGAUUAGCUAGUUGGUGAGGUAAUGGCUCACCAAGGCGACGAUCCCUAGCUGGUUUGAGAGGAUGAUCAGCCACACUGGGACUGAGACACGGCCCAGACUCCUACGGGAGGCAGCAGUGGGGAAUAUUGCACAAUGGGCGCAAGCCUGAUGCAGCCAUGCCGCGUGUGUGAAGAAGGCCUUCGGGUUGUAAAGCACUUUCAGUCAGGAGGAAAGGUUAGUAGUUAAUACCUGCUAGCCGUGACGUUACUGACAGAAGAAGCACCGGCUAACUCCGUG